CUCCAUUUUCGUUUUUCUUUGCUUCCUUUAAGUCCGAGAAUUGAAACCCAAGGCUAGUGGGUGAGAAAGAUCAAGUUCCCAACUCCUUCCUCCUUCUCGGAUUCAAAAACGGAGUUAGGGAUUUCAAAACCGUCAAACACAAACCUCUUCGUUUCAUCUAGAUCUAAGCUUCGUUUCGCGAAGAGAUAGAAGGGAAAGUUGCUCACUACCACGCUACGGUGCUAGGGAACCAACUU
RNAcentral lists this long non-coding RNA (236 nucleotides) under Cicer arietinum (chickpea). Its description in RNAcentral is "long non-coding RNA (CARI_LNC000253)". The record is from RNAcentral. Lineage: Eukaryota; Viridiplantae; Streptophyta; Magnoliopsida; Fabales; Fabaceae.